Molecule: transfer RNA, 73 nt
Filed under: Urocitellus parryii (Arctic ground squirrel)
Lineage: Eukaryota; Metazoa; Chordata; Mammalia; Rodentia; Sciuridae
Also listed under: 1 other name
Description: Spermophilus parryii (Arctic ground squirrel) tRNA
Rfam family: tRNA
About the family: Transfer RNA (tRNA) molecules are approximately 80 nucleotides in length.
Source: Rfam by way of RNAcentral
GGGGAUAUAGCUCAGUUGGUAGAGUACUUGCUUUGCAUGCACAAGGCCCUGGGUUCAAUCCUCAGCACCACCA